This 177-nucleotide ribosomal RNA is filed under the name Pristimantis delius. Its description in RNAcentral is "partial large subunit ribosomal RNA". It matches the Rfam family "Bacterial large subunit ribosomal RNA", at positions 1955 to 2132 of the family's 2925-position model. Lineage: Eukaryota; Metazoa; Chordata; Amphibia; Anura; Strabomantidae. The record is from RNAcentral.
GGUAGCGUAAUCACUUGUCUUCUAAAUAAAGACUAGUAUGAAAGGCAUCACGAGAACUAAGCUGUCUCCUUUUUCCCAUCAAUGAACCUAAUCUCCCCGUGAAGAAGCGGGGAUAAAAAUAUAAGACGAGAAGACCCUGUGGAGCUUAAAACAUUUAAACACUUGCCCCCCCCCCCC